Brassica rapa (field mustard) is the source of this 6503-nucleotide RNA transcript. It is a transcript of the gene named disease resistance-like protein DSC2, with no coding region annotated. The record is from RefSeq and is a predicted model, not a curated record. NCBI's taxonomy places the organism in Eukaryota, Viridiplantae, Streptophyta, Magnoliopsida, Brassicales, Brassicaceae.
AGUCUCUGUUAUCAGAAUGUCAACGUACCUUAGAUUCCCUCUCGCAAAAUCUAGCUCUAGACCACUCUUCUCUUCUCCACAAGGACGGUUUAGUUCGGUGCCCUUUUGAUCCAAAUCACCUCAUGCCACCGGAAGCCUCUCGAUCUCACUCCUCUUCUCGGAUCAUUUAGUAGUUACCGAAACACACUCGACUUACCGUAGCUGAACAACGGUGAUGGUGAUCUCUGUUUCUCCUUAGAUGACGUCACCUUCUUCGGGAACAACUUCUUCUACAACGAUUGCCCUGGCGUUGUUAACUUCUCCGAGCUCGAUGGUAAAACGCGACGUUUUACACUUCCUAGUGUUCUUCUGAAUGUUGAAUGCAGCGAGUUUGUAUGUUCUCCUGUGUUGCGCGAUGAAAAGUGAGAUUGGAGGAUGGAGAGAUUACCCAACUUCGUACUCCUAUAGUGUUCUUUGUUCAAUUCUUCGUUCUGAAGCGGUUGAAACGAGUGGGUUAAGGAUACAUACAUGAGGGAUCAUGUUUUUUUGCUGUUUAGGUUGUCUCUGAAAGCGGUUGUUAAGGAAGCUAGUGGGUUUAUGUUAGAGUCUGAUGCUAAAAUGUUUUGGGUGAGCAGAGCUGCAAAAGCAGAACGUUUGAGUGUCCGGCUUUGUUUCGAGUGUUGUCUUGGUUAGCCUCUCAGCUUGCUGUAUUGUAUGGAGAAGGGAACGGGAAGUUUUUUGCUCUAGACAUGUUGAAACAGUGCAUUGAAGUAUCUGCCUCUCAGAUUAUGUUGUUUCGGUCCGAACAGUAAACUUUAAGAUGGUGAAGCAUUUGGAGAAUAACUUAGGUGGGGAAGUUGGCAAAACUGUGGACACUCCCCUAGGAAUAUCUGUGUCUCGUGUGGCAGCAGCUGUUGCAGCUUUAUAUGAAAGAUCCAUGCUUGAAGGAAAAAUAAGAGCAAUUCGAUUUGCCCAACCACUAAUUAGAUAUCAGCGGGUAGCUUAGCAUGGUGUUAUGACAGCUCAAGCUGUUGAGGAACGGAAGGAACGUCCUAGCUACCGACCUAUUAUUGAUCAUGAUGGUCUUCCCAGACAUCGCUUAUCAAAUCAGGAUAUGAAUAAAAUGAAGACAAGAGAAGAGCUUUUAGCUGAAGAGAGAGACUACAAGCGUCGAAGAAUGUCUUACCGUGGUAAAAAGGUGAAACGAACGCCUCGACGGGUGUUGAGGGAUAUGAUAGAAGAAUUUACAGAAGAAGUUAAGCUAGCAGGAGGUAUUGGAUGUUUUGAGAAGGGAAUGCCAUUACACUCCUCAUCUUCUAUAAGCAAGGGUCAGAAAGAAAGUGACCUUGGAUACAGUUAUGUAUCAACAACAUUAACAGACGCAUCACCAAGAUCCUAUAAGCAACGGAAAGGAGAGAAUAGCGAAUAUCGGGUGGAGAUUAGAACCAAUACAGAUAAAGGAAACCUGUAUGAGGAAUAUGAUUCAGGCACUAGCUCAGAGAGACAACAGAGUCACAGAUCAUAAAAGCGCGGUGAUCGAAGAGAUGAUGAAUUCACAAGGACCAAACGACGUAGGAUCAUCUCGUGAAAAGAGUUCAUCAGAUUACAAGACCAAAAGGGAUGAUCGUUAUGACCGCAGCGGUCGGGAACCUACCAAGGCCAAAAGGGAUGAUCGUUAUGACCGCAGCAGUCGGGAACCUAGCAAGACUAAAAUGGAUUGUAUCUAUCUUCAAAGUUCGUUUGAAAGAGAUUGAAGUUAAAAGAAACCAAGUCAUUCGGUUGGUCUGACUUUGGUGGUCUAUUCCGAUAAUCUUGCAGCAAAAGUUUACCCAGACUCGGAGCAUCAGCAGUUUUGUGUGAAUCCGUAUCCUCUUUUGUAUCCUUAACCAUGAUUUUCACCUUCUUUGAUGCAUCUAAAUAUUAACAGAAAUCUUAUCUUUCUUCCCAGCUAUUUCUCAAAGUUCCUUAGGUUUAUAGUUUUUAGUGUUACUUUUCUCCUCUGCUUGUGACAGAUGGAAAUUAAUUCAAAGUAUAUUAUUGUUAUGAACAAGCCCUGAGCCAUGUGAUUGCUAGGAAUAUAUGGGAUCUCGACGAGCCAUGUCAUAAUUUACUCGUUAUCUAAGUGAUAUUUCCACAGUUAAAAUUUCCUUCACAUGAAAAACCAUAAUUUAUUUGUCUUUACAAGUUUACAUGACGAUUAGGUGACGUGUGACGCAAGUAUUUGUUCAUGGAAGAUCUCUGUUUCUUCAUGGCAGGUGUUUUCCUCUCCAGUUCUGAAGAAACCGUCUGAAACGGCUACGUACAAGCAGACGACGGAGCUCCAGAGUAAUCAGAAACCACCGGAGGCGAGAACACAAACCUUGGAGAUUCCUGCACCACAACUCCUUUCAUUAACCUUUCUGUGAACUUCAACCUCACUGAUAAGCUCGGGAGAUCGCCGCUCUCUGUUCUCAGACGGAGGCCUUGAUCUCAAAUACAUCUCUCUGAGAGGCACACGACUGAUCUGCUCGUCUGAUGGCUCUUUCUACUUUGUCUCGUCAUUGUAAACACCAUGUCUUUCCUAGCUUCCACGGGCCAGAUGUCCGUAGAGGCUGUCUCAGCUACUUACUGAAGGAGUUCAAAGAGAAAGCAAUCGACGUCUUCAUAGACAAUGACAUAGAGAGGAGCAAGUUGAUUGGUCCCGAGCUCACAGAAGCUAUAAGAGGAUCGUUAAUUGCAAUUGUCUUGAUCUCGAGGAACUACGCUUCAUCAACAUGGUGUCUGAACGAGUUGGUGGAGAUCAUGAGGUGUUGGGAUGAAGAUAAGCAGACGGUGGAGGUGAUUUUCUAUGAAGUGGAUCCAUCUGACGUGAAAAAGCAGAAGGGAGACUUCGGAGCUGUCUUUGAUAAAACUUGUGCAGAGAAAUCAACGGAGGAAGUUGAGAGAUGGAGAAAAGCUUUGCAUAUUGUGGCUCAACUCGCUGGUUACCAUACAAGUAACUUUGAUGAUGAUGCGGUCAUGACUGCAAAAGUUGUUACGGAUGUUUCGAACAAGUUCAAUGAUUCCACAACAUCAAAUGAUUCCAGCUGCUUGGUUGGGAUUGGAACUCAUAUCAAGGAGAUAGAGUCAUUAUUGUCCUUAGAAUCCGAUGAAGUCCGGAUGGUUGGUAUCUGGGGUCCUUCUGGAAUUGGUAAGACGACCAUCGCCAGAGCUUUAUAUGGAGAGCUCUCUAGUAAGUUUACACAUGCUGCUUUUAUUGAGAGUAUCCAAGGGAAGUUUGAGCAAAACUAUCGAGACGAGCACGCGUUCAAGUUGCAGUUACAAGAACAACUUUUGUCAAAGACCUUAAGUCAGAAAGAUGUAAAAAUAGGUCAUCUGGGUGUGGCAAAAGCAAGGCUGAAGGACAAGAAGGUGCUUGUCGUUCUUGAUGAUGUGGAUGACUUAAAGCAGCUAGAAGCCAUGACUGACAAAACUUGCUGGUUUGGGCCUCAAAGUAGGAUUGUCAUCACGACAAAGGAUAAAAAGCUUUUGGUAGCACAUGAGAUCAACCAUAUUUACCAUGUGGAUUUUCCAUCUUUAUCUGAAGCUCUUGAAAUUCUCUGUCUGUCUGCUUUUCGUCAUAAGUCACCGUCAUCUGGGUUUGAGGACAUGGCCAUAGAAGUUACACGGCUCGCCGGUCGUCUUCCUUUGGGUCUAUGUGUUUUUGGCGCAUAUCUGCGAGGAAUGUCCAGAGAUCAUUGGAUAAAUGCAUUGCCUCGACUUAGGACGAGUCUGGAUGGGGAGAUUGGGAAAGUAUUAAGGGUCAGCUAUGAGGCUUUAUGCGAGGAAGAUCAAGGACUGUUUCUUCAUAUAGCAUGUUUUUUCAAAGGUGAAAGCAUUAAUGACGUGGUGGACUGUCUUGCGGAGAGUCGUUUGAACGUCAAACACGGGCUCCAAGUGUUGUUCGAUAAAUGUUUCAUAUCUUAUGACGAAUGGGGACGGUUGGUGGUUCAUAACUUGCUGGAGAAAUUGGCCAAAGAAAUUAUUCGUAAACAAUCUGUUUCUGAUCCUGGGAAACGUCAGUUCUUGGUCGAUGCUCUGGACAUUUGUGAUGUGCUCGAGGAAAAUGCUGGCACCGAAACUAUUAUAGGAAUAAAUUUUGACUUAUCGGAAGUCAGGGGAGAAUUAAUUAUUGACGAGCGAGCCUUUGAAGGGAUGUCUAGGCUCCAGUUCUUAAGAUUCAAGAAACGGGGUUUGUAUGACAACAUCCAACUUCUCUUACCCCAGGGUCUGAAGUUUAGAGCUAGUAAGCUUAAGUUUCUCGAAUGGUAUCGAUUUCCGUUGACGUGUUUUCCUCGUGAGUUUCAACCGCGGCGUCUUGUCAAACUUAUGAUGGAGGACAGCAACCUUGAAAAGCUGUGGGAAGAACCUAUUCCUCUCCCAUGUCUGAAGUUGAUAGAGCUGUCUGGUUCCGUCUACCUCAAAGAACUUCCGGAUCUGUCUAAUGCCACUAAUCUCAAGGUACUGAGGGCUGGUUUCUGCUCAAGUCUGUCGGAGAUCUCCUCUAUUGGGAAGUCCACUAGUCUCGAGGAGUUGCAUCUCGAAUAUUGCCGAAAGUUGACCAAGAUCCCCUCUUCCAUUGGGAAUGCCAUUAAUCUCGAGGCCUUGAAUGUCGAGGGAUGCGAGGGUCUGGUUGAACUCCCAUCCUCUAUUUGGAGCCUCAGUAAGUUAAAGAAACUGUUAAUUUUAGGAUGCUCAAAGCUAAACCGUUUGGGGUCACAGUUGAGAAGCUUUCUUGAUAUUUCCGGAAACAUUACAGAAUUCAGUAUUACUGAUACAGAGAUAGAAGAGUUUCCUUCAUCAAUCAUGGCUUUUUCGUGUCUUCGUGAUCUCUGUGUGAAUGCCGAAAGACUCGAGGUGUUUCCAGAUGUUCCUGACACCAUCGAAAACCUAACAUUAAUCAUCGCGAGAAUAGAAGAAAUUCCUCCAUCGAUUCAGAAUCUCACACGUCUCACUAGACUAAGCUUGUCUCGCUGCAAGAAGCUAAAGGUAUUUCCAACCAACGUCAACCUGCAAUCUCUCUCUCGACUUUAUCUCAGUUCCUGUACACAAUUGAGAACAUUUCCAGAGAUAUCUACAAGCAUUAGUUAUCUUAAUCUGAGCGAUACUUCUAUAGAAGAAGUCCCUUCAUCCAUAUGGUCGUGGCCCCAUCUUCGUGAAUUGGACUUGGAAGAUUGCCGCAGCCUUCGGGUGAUCCAUAGUUUUCCUGACAACAUCGAAGAGUUGGACUCGGGCUUGAGCGAUACGGGAACAGAUUCCUCAGGUGGUGAUUCGGAGACUCGUCUACCAUUAUGUAUAAACCUCAAAGGGUGCAAGAGUCUUGUGUCAUUGCCCCACAUUCCGUAUUGCGUCUCACUCCUUGAUGCAUCUAACUGUAAGUCGCUGGAGAGAAUAGAUGGCUUAGUUAGCAAUCCAGAGAGAUGUCUCAUCUUUAUUAAUUGUUCCAAGCUGAGCAAACCAGCGAGAGAACUCAUUGAGGUAUCGGAUUGCAAGUCUGCGCUCUUUCCUGGUGGAGAACUGCCUGCAGACUUUGAUCACCGAGCAAGAGAGGGUUUACUAACGGUCCAGAGCCAUCUUCCUUUAUUCUUAAGAUUUAAAGCUUGUCUUUUGCUGCUUCAUAGAGGUUAUAUAGAGGACGAGGAUGAUGAGGACGAGGAAUGCAUGUGUGGCAAGAGGCUUUCAUGUGACAUCUGGUGCGUUCAAAAUGGCGUCGAUGUUGGACAUGGAUCACGCGCGUACUAUCUACCAGCAACACUUGGAUCUAAGGAGCAUUUGUAUUUCUUGGAAUCUUCCAUCUCACUAAACCUUCCUGAAACAGAUGUGAAUUUUAGCGAGCUUCAUUUUGAGUUCUACGAGAUCACUGGUAAAUACUGGGAUGUAAAAGACUUUGCUAUAAAACUCUUGGAAGAUACUCACAACGAAGCUGAACAGAAAGUAACUGCAGACAUCAAGAUAGAGAAAAUGCAGGAACAAUGUGAAUGUCUGCGAGCUUCAUUUUGAGUUCAAGAACUCUGGUAAGAAUGUGAAAGACUUUGCUGUACAACUCUUGGAAGAUCCUGAUGUUCAUGGUGACCAUGGAUGCUGUGAAGAUACUCACAACGAAGCUGAGUACAAAGAAACUGCAGACAUCAAGAUAGAGAAACUUACAUGCAGGAACAAUGUGAACAAGAGACAAUUUAACUGGUUUCCGUACGUCAUGGAUGAAGAGUAGAGAGAGCAGAAAAGAGUUGGGUGCUUGUGUGUCCUUGUAGCUUAUCUUUGCGUAUAGGUACUUGUCUUUUGGAUCUGUGGCAUUAGCAUCUACAUCUGUGGCACGGCUCUCUUGGACUGAAACUGCGAUUGGUCAUUUUGUUAUUCGAAUAUGUCAGUUGUUUGUUUCUAUUUUGAAGCAUCUAUUUUAUAAUAACAUUUGUAUAAUUGACAUGUUAAAGCACUGUUCAUUUGGGAACAGGAACGUAUGUUGAGAGUGGUUUAUUUUAUUUGAUCAGAAGUCGAUAAUUCCUAAA